RNAcentral lists this ribosomal RNA (253 nucleotides) under uncultured bacterium. RNAcentral describes it as "partial 16S ribosomal RNA". It matches the Rfam family "Bacterial small subunit ribosomal RNA", at positions 524 to 776 of the family's 1533-position model. The record is from RNAcentral.
UACGAAGGGGGCUAGCGUUGCUCGGAAUGACUGGGCGUAAAGGGCGCGUAGGCGGAUGUCUUAGUCAGGCGUGAAAGCCCUGGGCUCAACCUGGGGACUGCGUUUGAUACGGGUUGUCUUGAGUGGGGAAGAGGGGCGUGGAAUUCCCAGUGUAGAGGUGAAAUUCGUAGAUAUUGGGAAGAACACCGGUGGCGAAGGCGGCGCCCUGGUCCGUGACUGACGCUGAGGCGCGAAAGCGUGGGGAGCAAACAGG